This is an RNA transcript of Myripristis murdjan (pinecone soldierfish), 8265 nucleotides long. It is a transcript of the gene named coiled-coil and C2 domain containing 1A, with no coding region annotated. The transcript has 29 exons. Lineage: Eukaryota; Metazoa; Chordata; Actinopteri; Holocentriformes; Holocentridae. The record is from RefSeq and is a predicted model, not a curated record.
AAUGCAGGAAGUAAAUUCCACAGCUCGCCGUUUUUUGUUUUGACAGCCCGAGCUAAAAAAAUAAACUAAAAUAAAUACCUUCAUCUCUCUUUGCGUUUUAUUUACCGUCAGUAUAACAGUGUUUUGGCGGAGGAGGCGCUCCCUGCACGGUUAACAGUGACGACGCGCGGACUGCGUGGUGAGGUGCUGCGUACUUGAACACCUGCUUACCUGUCCAUGAGUCGCAGUCGGAACCCCCCACCCCGGGGGCAAGGGGCAGCACGAGCCAAACAGAUGGGGCUGCUCCUCGACUUAUCCCCAGAUGGAGGGAUGGAUGAUGGGGGAAAUGAGGAGGAGCUGGAAGCAGAGCUCAUGAGCCUAAUAGGAGGAGGAGGAGGAGGAAGGUCGCCUGGAAAGAAACCUGGAGGCAGAUCUCCUGUUCCCAUGGCUGAAAUAGAGCGGAUGGCGGCUCUCUGUAUGAAAGAUCUGGAUGAUGAUGAAGGAGUGGAUGAAGAUUUGGAAGAUGAUGAGGAUCUGCUGGCCGAGCUGAAUGAGGUGCUGGAGGAUGAUGAUGAGGGGGAAACGCCCAAUCGCGCCCCUCCUGCUGCCCCCCCAGCUGCUCCCAGACCCAGCAUCACUCCCAGCUCCACUCCUGCUACUCCCAGCGGUACGAGUGGGCUGGAGUCCCGCCUAACAGAGCGCAUCGACAUGUAUAAGACGGCCAUUUCCAAUGCCAAGGCCGCAGGGGAGUCCAGCAAAGCUCGGAGAUACGACCGUGGAUUAAAAACACUGCAGUCGAUGCUGGCGUCUGUCAUGAAAGGGAAACCAAUCAACGAGGAGGAGAUUCCUCCUCCCGUCGCUACGGGUGGAAAGCCCAACCUGACCGCUCAGCCUGAGCUAAUCAAAGAGCGGGAGCCGCCGGAACCAGCACUGAUGCCCUCCCCUCCCACCAGUCAGAAACCUCUGAGGGAGGCUCCACCGACAGCCCCAAACGUAAAGCCCCAGCAUCUGACACCGCCACAGAAACCCGCCGCUGCCGUCACUCCAGACACACCCGCCAUCUCCCCCCUCACCCCCUGCCAGCCAAACGCACAGCACUCAGAGAUGAAACAGGCAGUGCUGUCCAGGCAGAGGGAGUAUAAGAUAGCUGCCAUUCAGGCCAAGCAGGGCGGAGACACUGACCUGGCCAAGCGACACUACCUCAUUGCCAAGAAAAUGGACGUACUGGUGGAAACGCUAGACGCAGGAGAGCCAGUAGACCUGAGUGCCCUACCAGCUCCUCCUGGCUCUGCCGUAGCGGCGCACAGCGCUCCCCUUCCUCCCCAGUCCUCCUCCAAACCUGAACCAGCUGCUGCUCCUGCACCAACCCCAGUGGCCACUGCUGACCUCCCGGCCCCCACCAGUAUAGCAGAGGCCCUGCAGCAGAGGAUGGACAAAUACAAAGCGGCAGCAGAGGGAGCCAAGAGCAAAGGAGACGACCGCAAGGCUCGUAUGCACCAGCGCAUUGUCAAGCAAUACCAGGACGCCAUCAGAGCUCACAAAGCUGGACGACCGGUCAACUUGUCCGACCUUCCUGUGCCACCAGGUUGUCCCCCACUCCAGGGCGGUGAGAGCGGCCAGCAGAACUUCAUGGGUGUCCUGGAAACAGCCAUGAAACUGGCCAAUCAGGAUGCAGACGCAGAAGAAGAGGACGGUGCAGAAGAGGUUGCCAAGCCUGCAGCACGUCCGCCGGCCCAGAAAGCCAAAUCUCCAGCUCCUCAGGCCCCUGGGGGCUCCUCAGCUCCUAGUCAAGGAGUAAAACUGGGACCCAAAGCCCAACAGCAAUUGGAUUUCCUGUUGCUACGGCGACAGGCGUUUAUCCGAGCAGCACUUCGCUCCAAGCAAAUGAAGGACAUGACCGGAGCAGCGCAGCACCUCCGACACGCCAAGGGACUGGACGCCAUGAUCACUGCUGCCAAGUCUGGUCUGCCUGUAGAUAUCUCCAAGAUUCCCAGUGCUCCAGUCAGUGAGGAGGACUACUCCCUGUCGCGCUCCCGCACCUCCCCUCUGUCCCCUCGCUCCAGUGAGCAGUACAGCCACCUCAUGGGGCUCCUACGACAGCAGCAUGAGAAAUGUCUGGGCUACUCUCAGCAAUUCACACAAAUGGGCAACGUAGCUGAGACAAUAAAGUUCGAGAAGCUUGCUGACGAGUGCAUGAAGAACAUAGAGAUACUGAAGAAAGCCCACGCCAAAGGCCAACCAGCACCCAAGUACCACACUGAGGAGAGGACCUUCAACACUGUCAAGAUUUACCCCAACCUGACACCUAAUGACAUGAUACUGUACAUCAUCAGGGGCGUUAAUCUACCAACUCCUGCAGGUGUCUCUCCCAGUGACCUGGACGCCAGUGUCAGGUUUGAGUUUCCAUUCCCCAGUGCGGAGGAAGCCCAGAGGGACAAAACCAGCACGGUGAAGAGCACCAACAGUCCAGAGUUUAAAGAGCAGUUCAAACUCAACAUCAACCGUACCCAGCGAAGCUUUAAACGCGUGGUGCAGUCUAAAGGCAUCAAAUUUGAGAUCAUCCACAAAGGGGGGCUGUUUAAGACAGACAAGGUCAUCGGCAACGCUCAGCUGAAGCUGGAGGGUCUAGACAACCAGUGUGACAUCAGAGAUAUUAUAGAGGUGCUGGAUGGACGUAAAGCCACGGGGGGGAAGCUGGAGGUGAGGGUGAAGAUCAGAGAGCCUCUAGGAGGAGUUCAUCUGCAGUCGGUGACGGAGAAGUGGCUGGUUCUCGAUCCCCUCUCCUCCCCCUCUCCUCCAGAGAGACAAAGGGAGCGGGCCCCAUCUCCUCGGUCCAAACCCAGGAGUGACCCCAGCAGCAGGAGCAGUCAUCCCAGCAGCUCUCCCCCUCAGUACAAACUCCACAGCUUCAGCCUCCUGAACUAUGACAAGGAGAGACUGGAGAGAAAGAUUGCAGAAUAUCGAAAGAACCGGCGCGACCCGCCCGCUGACCUGAUCCAUCAACACAAAGAGGUCACACACCGGCUGCAGUGGCAGAAAGCCCACCUGGAGAGAGGCUCUCCCGCUUUGCUGGCAGAGUAUGAAAAUGCCUUGCGACGUUUCGCCCAAGGCCUCGCUGAUUCAGUCAAGAAAUUCUCAAGCCAAGGCAACAGAGAGGCUGCCAGGGAUGCUCUGGGCAGGCUGAAGAUGGUGGAGAAUGAGCUGGAAUCGCUGAAAAGGAAACGCUCCAUGUGAGGGGGAAAAUGAAUAAGGGAUUGGAGAGUUGGCUGGAGUACUGUUAAAUACACACACACACAUACACACACACACACACACACACACACACACUCACACACACACACACACGCACACUCUCACACAUCAGCACACAGACAUGGGUGUUGGGGAAUUAAUUUGCUACAUUGGUAAAUACAUAAUCAGUGCACAAACAUCAGUGGCGCGCACACACAAAAAACACCUGUUCUGCAGUCUCCCACGUACUACACACACACACACACACUGCAGGGACUCCUACAGACACACAAGUGCAGUCUCUCCCCUUCCUUUUCUGUCCUCCUCCUCUUUUCUGUGGUCUCUCCGCCCUCACCUCUUCCCAAAGUUCUCUCUCUCUCUCUUUCUCUCUCUCUCUUUCUCUCUCUCUCUCCCUCUGUCUUACGCUCGCUCUCCAAACGGCUCCUGCAAUGACGACAGAUAGUGCUCAGCUCGACUCUUUCCCAUGAAUUCUAUUUGGCAAACGAUUUUUGUAAGUCACUACUGAGGUAAUUUUUCAGGGCUUGUUCAACACAAAAAAAUUUCUCUUAAGAAACGGCUAUUUGAGGUUACUGAAUUUGUCCUUUUUAAAAGUAGGGAUUAUGAUUAGCCGUGGUGUUUAAAGUGAGAUUUAAGUGCUGCUACCAGCUUGUAAAUAUAUAUUACCCUAUUUGGUAGUGUGUACAUAUGUACAAAAACUAACCCCUUAUAGUUAGAGGUAUUGCCAUUUUAACCAAAUAUGUGGUUGUUGAAAACUAAAUUCACCCCAUCAAAAAUGUUAUAUUAACAUUUGUUUUCAUUUUCUCUAUGUAGAAACUUUUAUAGGAGAAUAAUUCAAGAAAAUUGAUAGCUCAUAGAUUUUCAUAAUGAUAUGAAGAAUUGUAUUUCGCUCACGUAUUUUACCCAGUGUCACAAAAUUUGGAAGACAAAGUGGAAAGUCUUGAUCAGUCCACCUUAGUCAGCUGAAGCCGAUAACAAUACAUGGCUAUAUUUAUACCUCGCCGCUUGUUUGUAUCUUGCUGUUCCCAAUUGUACCGCAUCCUACCACACUUAUAUUCUUAUAGUACAUAUACGUAACCAUGAUACUUCAUUAUCAUAUCAAUGUCCGUCACCACUACCGCAUACUACCGAAUACACUUCAUAGGAAUAAAAAUUCUUGGCAGGGGAAUUGGUGUCAUUUUUGCCAUAACAGCUUCUGUUUGGAGCUUAGAUGUCUGUUUUAUCAGCUGUAUUUCUGCGAUAGACAUCUGCAUUAACGGAAUAAUUCACCCCAAAUUUAAAAAUAUGUGUACACACCCCAGUGUCAGUCAAAACUGCAUUGAUGUUUGUAGGACUACCAAACACACAGAGAGUCAGCUCCUGUUGUUAUAGCGGUCACAGACUGAAGUGAAAGUUUGCGGUCUUUUCACUUGUGCAGCAAGUGUUUUGUAGCCAAACAAUUGUAUUGUGGGUGCAGAGGUCUAAUAUUGACUUUAUUCAAUGUGUUUACAUGCACUUUUUUAAUCAAGUUAUUCCCUUGUUAUGGUGGUUAGCUGAUUUCUUAAAUGCCAUGUAAACAAAAAGCUGGGCUUCCUUAGUUAGGUCAAGAGAAACCCGGUUAACACAGCUAGAUUUCUACUAGAGAAACCCAGUUACUAGGACACGACAACUCUUACUUGGAUUUCUGAGUGUUUUUGUUUUUUGUGUUUCUUUCACAUGUGCAUAUGUGCAGGAAAAGAUCUUAAAAAUUGACCCACCUUGUCUGGGUGGUUGUGCACACCCAGACAAGCAAAAUCCUUUGGGCCUACUGACGUGAUUCUUUGGCUACAAAACAUUUGAUUCUGCUGCAUCGUUUGGCCCUGUUGAAACUACAGUCAUUGAAACCCCAAAUCAGAACCAUUAAGACUCAACUGACACAAAUGCAGGACAAGCUCAUAAUUUAUUAAGGACUCUGGAUGACUGGUACCCAUUUUCCACCAAAACUUCUUAGGCUAAAGUUUUUGGGUUUUGCUCUUGGAAGGAAGUUCUGGGGGCAAAGUGAGGACACUAGGCUCUUGUGUUUUUGUGUUUCCACUACGAGAUCACUUAAUGCAAAUAAGGAAGACGUGUCAAGUCAUUCUGUGUGCAGCUGCCAACAGCAAUAGAAAAGUUGUCAUGUUUGUGAUUAUUUACCUCUUUGCCGCUAUGAUGCUGCAUUGGUUUUGGUGAAGAGAUGCACAGAGGUUGAAAAUGAGAUUGGGGGUGCCAGAAAAGCAAGAACUGAAUAGAGAAAGCUGCUUUAAUGUAAUGUAGAGAAACUGUGACAUGACAAACGGAGCUGAACGAAAUGAUUUACUCUCAAUUACUAGGUGAAUAAUGUCUUGAUGGAACAAUCUUUUAAUAAUUUGUGUUUGUGGUUGUUCGCUCCUGUUACUUUCACGCUGCGAUUAUCAAACGUUCAACCAAUCAGGGAUGUUCAGCACUUAAAACUCCAGGGAUCAGGAGAGUGCUGCCCUGGUGCAGGGACCAUUUUGGGGAUCAGGAACUCAGAGAGGGACUCCAGUGGAAAUAGGGGUAAGAGUUCCUGCUUCCUCGAAAGGGUUCCUGUGUUUUGGGGACAGUUUCUGCAGUGAAAAGUGGACGCGUGAAAACCGUGCAUACUCAGCCAUCAGUCCAUGCAUUCAUCACUUGAGUCUAAAUGGUCCUCGUGUUAAUCGUCCCCUGGUGAUCAUUGGUUUAGUCUUAGCUGGGCCUGCUGUGUGUACUCUAACUUUAAUGGAGUUUUGAUUGACAUCAGCGAGUAGAUAGUGAUUGAUUUUUCGUUCCGGGGGGGUGAACUGUUUCUUUAAGAUUGGCAGGGUGUUUGCCAUUCUGCAUCGUCUCCCCGUAAAAAUUGCUCUCUGACUCCAUCUGAAGAUGUAUGACGGUGUGAUGACACCAACCGUGAGAAUGUAAUAACUCAGCUCUGAUGAAAUUGUGGUUACUUUUUGAUAAGGCUGCCAUCAAGCUACACAGUUACUUAUUGCCUUGGUGCUCUGUUUAGAAUGUCACUGACUGUUUGGAUAAUUCCCUCUUCCCGACUGGCAAGCUGUUUUAUCGGAGACCGGCAUGCACCCACGAGUCUAGUCCCAUGAGAUCAGGGGUCAUGCGCAUAGACAGGAGGCGAUGAUCAGAGACCGUCGUAUCUAAUGAAGUCCCUGUGGCGAUGGGAGCUGAUCGCGAAACGCUAAGAGGCUUUAUCCAAAAGUCCUGGAUGUCCAGAUUGAUAUGAGACAUGCCUACUCACUGUACUGAAUGUCACAGGCCCGCACUCAGGGCCCACACUGCUCACUGCCUUACACAGCCAGCAAGUACAGCACUUAAUCCAGCUCACAACAUUAGACCCACAGCUAGCUCGUGUCAUGACACUGCUGUCGGCGGUGUUUAUCUGUGAGCUAGCACGCCACCAGGAGAGACAACAGCCCCUCGGUCCUUCCACCCCCGGCCAACCUUUCCCCCCCAGCCCCUCUUAGACCACACAUGCUGCCCUUGUGGGUUUUAACCACUCAAAUGUCUCUUGAUGACAAAAUAUACAUCCACCUUUCUACUCCACAUGUGUUUUCUUGUGUUUUGAAGCCACCCUCGGGACUGCUGUGAGGUCCAGAGAACACAAUCUAGAUAUAAGCUUAAAGUAAAAAUAAUAAAAAAAAUAAAAAUAAAAAAACGAGUUACAGGAUCCAUAGUGUCAUUGUCCAGUCCAUAUCCUUGAAGUGCUGUAAAAUAGACCCACCUCUCCCUCACCAUUCUUCACUUCAAACCUCCCGUCUUCCUUCUCCGUUCCUUUCCUUUUUCUCCCCCCCCCCCGACCCUCCGUUCGCGUAUCGCCCUCUGACUCACGACAGUGUCACACACAAGGGUGAAAUACACUCGUGCUUUAUGUUUUGCGUUUUUUUUCCUCUUGUUUCUUUCGUUUUGAUUAAGGAGAUCAAUCUAAUUUGGGGGCAGGUUUAGACAAUGUUCCAGAAAUAUGUAGCAACUUUCGUGGCUGUCAGACCUGCAAGUCGUUUCUUUCUAAAAACAUAAGAGGUACGAGAUUUCUGUUUUUUGUCUGUACAAUAUAAUAUCUCUUUCGGCUGUGAUUUAUUGGUUUAUUUCAUGACAUUGUGAUUUCUAGUGGUUAAGCAAAUGGUUUAGUACGCCACACUGGGGAGGCCUCCUUACCCACACACACUCCCUCUCCGUCUGCCCACACACAGUCAAACACAGACGAGCAAGUUGCACGCCAGGACGGCAGAUUGCAAAAUUAAAAGUGGGCAAAAAAAAAAUUCUCCAGAUCUCACAGUUUAUAUUCAAAUCUUGAGCCCAGAGUGACAAAUAUUUGUGACGGUGUUUUCAAUUUGCCAAAGCAGAGUAGAUUCAUAUUGGAUAGUGUUAAAGUGCAACAGACUUGUUUCUGCGUUUCCAAACUAAACUAUCCACCUUAUUUUGGACUACGGAAGUGAACAGCUGGUCGAACUUCUGCUUGGCUUUUUUUGUGUGCCGCAUUUUCAUUUGAUCACUUUUUGAUCACAUUUGACGAUGUUGUGGGAGCACUUCCAGAAAUCAAUCAGCUGUUGCUCUAGCUGCUGUAGUGAAAAGUGAAUCAGCUAAUCAAUGACUAGCAGUCUAACACACACAAAAAACAGUAAAGUGGCUGCAUCCAUAUUUCCGUUUAAAAAUAAGCUGAAUACUAAAAGGUGUCCCAUGAAGCUCAGCGCAAGACAUGCCUAAUGAUCAGGUGCCAAAAUGCAACGCUUGUCACUAUUUACCCACUUUGUUUUCUUCAUGAUAGUCGGCUGCUGGCGUGUCGCCCUGUGGUCAGUGUGGCCAAGUCAUUUAACAAGGAAGGAGUGUUGUUCGGACGGCCUCUUUAAGUGCAAGUAUGUUAUUGUUCUUAUCGAUAAUCACUUGAUCUGGGUUUAGUUUUGUAACAUGUGGAGAUAGUUCAAAAUGUUUUUUUUUUAUAUAUAUAUGUAUAUGAAUAUAAUGCUGUAAAGCGCAGUCAUGAAUUAAGAGAUUUCUCUUUCACAUCAAUACAAUAAAGAAGAGGGAAUAAAACCA